AGUGUUAGAUUCAUGGCUCAGAACGAACGACUGGCUGGCAUGCAUAACACAUGCAAGUCGAACGAGAUCCUCUUGGGUCUAGUGGCGCACGGGUGGGUAACCAGUGGGAAUCAUCCCUUAGGUUUGGAAUAACAUCAAGAAAUGACUUCUAAUUCCGGAAGAUGCCGUUAAGUCCAAAGAUUUAUCGCCUGAGGAUGAGCCCGCGUAGGAUUAGCUAGUUGGUGAGGUAAAGGCUCACCAAGGCGACGAUCCUUAGCUGGUCUGAGAGGAUGAUCAGCCACACUGGGACUGAGACACGGCCCAGACUCCUACGGGAGGCAGCAGUGGGGAAUAUUGGNCAAUGGGCGCAAGCCUGAUCCAGCAAUGCCGCGUGAGUGAUGAAGGCCUUAGGGUUGUAAAGUUCUUUUACCCGGGAUGAUAAUGACCAGUACCCGAGAAUA
RNAcentral lists this ribosomal RNA (440 nucleotides) under Sphingomonas sp. A10. RNAcentral's name for it is "bacterial SSU rRNA". It matches the Rfam family "Bacterial small subunit ribosomal RNA", at positions 8 to 487 of the family's 1533-position model. Lineage: Bacteria; Pseudomonadati; Pseudomonadota; Alphaproteobacteria; Sphingomonadales; Sphingomonadaceae. The record is from RNAcentral.